GAUGAACGCUGGCGGCGUGCCUAAUACAUGCAAGUCGAGCGAACAGACGAGGAGCUUGCUCUUCUGACGUUAGCGGCGGACGGGUGAGUAACACGUGGAUAACCUACCUCUAAGACUGGGAUAACUUCGGGAAACCGGAGCUAAUACCGGAUAAUAUAUUGAACCGCAUGGUUCAAUAGUGAAAGACGGCUUUGCUGUCACUUAUAGACGGAUCCGCGCCGCAUUAGCUAGUUGGUAAGGUAACGGCUUACCAAGGCGACGAUGCGUAGCCGACCUGAGAGGGUGGUCGGCCACACUGGAACUGAGACACGGUCCAGACUCCUACGGGAGGCAGCAGUAGGGAAUCUUCCGCAAUGGGCGAAAGCUUGACGGAGCAACGCCGCGUGAGUGAUGAAGGUCUUCGGAUCGUAAAGCUCUGUUAUUAGGAAAGAACAAAUGUGUAAGUAACUAUGCACGUCUUGACGGUACCUAAUCAGAAAGCCACGGCUAACUACGUG
This 497-nucleotide ribosomal RNA is filed under the name uncultured bacterium. RNAcentral describes it as "partial 16S ribosomal RNA". It matches the Rfam family "Bacterial small subunit ribosomal RNA", at positions 28 to 507 of the family's 1533-position model. The record is from RNAcentral.